Molecule: long non-coding RNA, 340 nt
Filed under: Nicotiana benthamiana
Lineage: Eukaryota; Viridiplantae; Streptophyta; Magnoliopsida; Solanales; Solanaceae
Description: long non-coding RNA (NBEN_LNC040330)
Source: RNAcentral
ACAGCGGAAGUGAACUAAGUGUUCUUGGAUCUUGUGAGCUAAAAAGGAAAAUUAUAUGAUGGAACCAAACAAGAAAGACAAAAUAAAUUUUUUGUAUUCCUGGUAGUCAACUCUUCACAAGAUGUUCUUUCAUGAAAUUUUUGAAUCCCCCCUUGUUACUUCUCUCUCUUUCUAUAUAUAAGGGAUAUUUCUAGAAAAUUCUAAAAAGAAUAUUUCUAUUCAUAAUCCUUGGAAUAUUUUAAUAGUUUUAGCCAUUUGCUCUCUACCCGACCUUAACACUGAUAUUUUCCUUUGAACAACUUCUCGCUACUAAAUCAUGCUUGAUUUCGACCUCGGCUUG